CCUACGGGUGGCAGCAGUGGGGGAUAUUGCACAAUGGAGGAAACUCUGAUGCAGCGACGCCGCGUGAGGGAAGACGGUCUUCGGAUUGUAAACCUCUGUCUUUGGGGAAGAAAAUGACGGUACCUAAAGAGGAAGCUCCGGCUAACUACGUGCCAGCAGCCGCGGUAAUACGUAGGGGGCGAGCGUUGUCCGGAAUUACUGGGUGUAAAGGGAGCGUAGGCGGGCGAGAAAGUUGAAUGUUAAAUCUACGGGCUUAACUGGUAGCUGCGUUUGAAACUUCUUGGCUUGAGUGCAGUAGAGGUAGGUGGAAUUCCUAGUGUAGCGGUGAAAUGCGUAGAUAUUAGGAGGAACACCAGUGGCGAAGGCGGCCUGCUGGGCUGUAACUGACGCUGAGGCUCGAAAGCGUGGGGAGCAAACAGGAUUAGAUACCCCGGUAGUC
RNAcentral lists this ribosomal RNA (439 nucleotides) under uncultured bacterium. RNAcentral describes it as "partial 16S ribosomal RNA". It matches the Rfam family "Bacterial small subunit ribosomal RNA", at positions 338 to 795 of the family's 1533-position model. The record is from RNAcentral.